This 65-nucleotide transfer RNA is filed under the name Hydrotaea unicidentata. RNAcentral describes it as "tRNA-Thr". It matches the Rfam family "tRNA". Rfam says of the family: Transfer RNA (tRNA) molecules are approximately 80 nucleotides in length. Their secondary structure includes four short double-helical elements and three loops (D, anti-codon, and T loops). The record is from RNAcentral. Lineage: Eukaryota; Metazoa; Arthropoda; Insecta; Diptera; Muscidae.
GUUUUAAUAGUUUAAUAAAAACAUUGGUCUUGUAAAUCAAAAAUAAGAGUGUAUCUUUUAGAACU